ACUUUUAACCAAAUCUAAAGGUAAAUGAUUAGAUACUUAAAAAUUAAUGGACCUGGCGGCUGAAUUGCUUCAACAGAGGGGCUUGUAUUAUAAUAGAGAAUCCACAAAAUAUCUUACUUUAUCUAAAGUUAGUAUACCGCCGUUUGAUGGGACAGUUAUUAAUUAGUUCCUUAAAAUAGUUAAACAACUACUAUAUCAGGUAAAGGUGCUGCCAAUGUUAAAGGAUAAUGAGCCACAGUAAUAAAAAUUAUUAGACCGUAGUAAUAAAUGAAUAUUUAUUAUAAAGUAGGAUUUGUUAGUAAAUUUCUUAAAAAAGAGAUUUUGAAAUAAAAGUUACAGUGU
This 342-nucleotide ribosomal RNA is filed under the name Nebalia hessleri. RNAcentral's name for it is "partial 12S ribosomal RNA". Lineage: Eukaryota; Metazoa; Arthropoda; Malacostraca; Leptostraca; Nebaliidae. The record is from RNAcentral.